Molecule: ribosomal RNA, 484 nt
Filed under: uncultured bacterium
Lineage: Bacteria
Description: bacterial SSU rRNA
Rfam family: Bacterial small subunit ribosomal RNA
Source: RNAcentral
GACGAACGCUGGCGGCGUGCUUAACACAUGCAAGUCGAGCGAUGAAAUUCUGACGGAGACUUCGGUCAACUGAAGGAUGGAUUAGUGGCGGACGGGUGAGUAACGCGUGAGUAACCUGCCUCUCAGAGUGGAAUAACAUUUGGAAACGAAUGGUAAUACCGCAUAACGUCAUGGGACCGCAUGAUCCUGUGACCAAAGGAGCAAUCCGCUGAGAGAUGGACUCGCGUCCGAUUAGCUAGUUGGAGAGGUAACGGCUCCCCAAGGCGACGAUCGGUAGCCGGACUGAGAGGUUGAACGGCCACAUUGGGACUGAGACACGGCCCAGACUCCUACGGAGGCAGCAGUGGGAAUAUUGCACAAUGGGGGAAACCCUGAUGCAGCAACGCCGCGUGAAGGAAGACGGUCUUCGGAUUGAAACUUUGUCUUAGUGAAGAAGAAUGACGGUAGCUAAGGNGAAAGCCAACGGCUAACUACGUGCCAGCAG